RNAcentral lists this long non-coding RNA (550 nucleotides) under Homo sapiens (human). RNAcentral describes it as "non-protein coding lnc-TEX48-1:3". The record is from RNAcentral. Lineage: Eukaryota; Metazoa; Chordata; Mammalia; Primates; Hominidae.
CAGAGUAGAAGUUUCAACUCCUUUCCAUGGGGACUGUCAGGAGCCCUAUGCCAUCAAUGACUCCAAGGUUCCCAGUCAAACCCAGGAGCACAAGCCAUCGACCCAAAAUUUGCUGCUUCAGAAGGAUGAGCUUGACAGACAAAAUCCCAAGCGCAUUAACGCAGUCUCCCAUUUGCCUUCGAGAACACCCCUGAUCCAGACAAAAAAGAGCACUUCCUCCAGCAGCAGUGAGUUUGAGGAUCUGAAUGCAUAUGCUUCCCAAAGAAAUUUUUACAAGAGAAACUUAAACCGCUACUGCCAGGAGCACUGGCCAUUCCAGCCAUGCCUCACUGGGAGGCCCUGAGCAUUCUAGCCGGCGGCUGCACAGCUGCUGGGGCAUCUCCAUGAGGAAGAGGGCGGUGGACAGGAGUCAUGAAGACUAAUUCGGAAACUCCCCUGAAGGAGGAGAAGACAUCUGAGCCAUCCUUGUGCCACCAAGCAAGAGUCACUCCAGCUCCUAAAAAGCCACCAUGGGAAGAGCUGCCUCCAAUUAAAGUUCUUGAUUGCACCA